AUUGAACGCUGGCGGCAUGCCUUACACAUGCAAGUCGAACGGCAGCACGGGUGCUUGCACCUGGUGGCGAGUGGCGAACGGGUGAGUAAUACAUCGGAACAUGUCCUGUAGUGGGGGAUAGCCCGGCGAAAGCCGGAUUAAUACCGCAUACGAUCUACGGAUGAAAGCGGGGGACCUUCGGGCCUCGCGCUAUAGGGUUGGCCGAUGGCUGAUUAGCUAGUUGGUGGGGUAAAGGCCUACCAAGGCGACGAUCAGUAGCUGGUCUGAGAGGACGACCAGCCACACUGGGACUGAGACACGGCCCAGACGCCUACGGGAGGCAGCAGUGGGGAAUUUUGGACAAUGGGCGAAAGCCUGAUCCAGCAAUGCCGCGUGUGUGAAGAAGGCCUUCGGGUUGUAAAGCACUUUUGUCCGGAAAGAAAUCCUUGGCUCUAAUACAGUCGGGGGAUGACGGUACCGGAAGAAUAAGCACCGGCUAACUACGUG
Molecule: ribosomal RNA, 486 nt
Filed under: uncultured bacterium
Lineage: Bacteria
Description: partial 16S ribosomal RNA
Rfam family: Bacterial small subunit ribosomal RNA
Source: RNAcentral